CUUCACCGAGCCGAGCCACAGCGGUUCGUCACGGUCCUGGCCGUAGGUCGCCAGGAGCGCCUGGGCCUC
This 69-nucleotide antisense RNA is filed under the name Amycolatopsis tolypomycina. RNAcentral's name for it is "ASpks TB sRNA". It matches the Rfam family "ASpks TB sRNA". Lineage: Bacteria; Bacillati; Actinomycetota; Actinomycetes; Pseudonocardiales; Pseudonocardiaceae. The record is from RNAcentral.